GUACCUUCUGGAAGUAGGGGGAGACAUUUCGAACUGCAAUACCUGCCCUUUCAGAUGCCUUUUUGCUCUUCUUUGAUGAUUUCUUUUGCCCACCAUUGCUGUCAGUUAAGCUGCUACCUGUAGAUUCCUUCUCUUGAUUGGGCACCUUCCAGAAGUAGGGGGAAACAUUUACUGUAAGACCAGCUCUUUGACAUGAUUUUUUGGUCUUCCUUGACGACUUAUUCUGCUCAUCUUCGCUGUUAGUCAUGCUGCUAUCUGCAGCUCUUUCUUCCUUGAGUACCUUCUGGAAGUAGGGGGAGACAUUU
This 305-nucleotide unclassified non-coding RNA is filed under the name Hevea brasiliensis (rubber tree). Lineage: Eukaryota; Viridiplantae; Streptophyta; Magnoliopsida; Malpighiales; Euphorbiaceae. The record is from RNAcentral.